UACAUGCAGUCGAGCGAACGGACGAGAAGCUUGCUUCUCUGAUGUUAGCGGCGGACGGGUGAGUAACACGUGGAUAACCUACCUAUAAGACUGGGAUAACUUCGGGAAACCGGAGCUAAUACCGGAUAAUAUUUUGAACCGCAUGGUUCAAAAGUGAAAGACGGUCUUGCUGUCACUUAUAGAUGGAUCCGCGCUGCAUUAGCUAGUUGGUAAGGUAACGGCUUACCAAGGCAACGAUGCAUAGCCGACCUGAGAGGGUGAUCGGCCACACUGGAACUGAGACACGGUCCAGACUCCUACGGGAGGCAGCAGUAGGGAAUCUUCCGCAAUGGGCGAAAGCCUGACGGAGCAACGCCGCGUGAGUGAUGAAGGUCUUCGGAUCGUAAAACUCUGUUAUUAGGGAAGAACAUAUGUGUAAGUAACUGUGCACAUCUUGACGGUACCUAAUCAGAAAGCCACGGCUAACUACGUGCCAGCAGCCGCGGUAAUACGUAGGUGGCAAGCGUUAUCCGGAAUUAUUGGGCGUAAAGCGCGCGUAGGCGGUUUUUUAAGUCUGAUGUGAAAGCCCACGGCUCAACCGUGGAGGGUCAUUGGAAACUGGAAAACUUGAGUGCAGAAGAGGAAAGUGGAAUUCCAUGUGUAGCGGUGAAAUGCGCAGAGAUAUGGAGGAACACCAGUGGCGAAGGCGACUUUCUGGUCUGUAACUGACGCUGAUGUGCGAAAGCGUGGGGAUCAAACAGGAUUAGAUACCCUGGUAGUCCACGCCGUAAACGAUGAGUGCUAAGUGUUAGGGGGUUUCCGCCCCUUAGUGCUGCAGCUAACGCAUUAAGCACUCCGCCUGGGGAGUACGACCGCAAGGUUGAAACUCAAAGGAAUUGACGGGGACCCGCACAAGCGGUGGAGCAUGUGGUUUAAUUCGAAGCAACGCGAAGAACCUUACCAAAUCUUGACAUCCUUUGACAACUCUAGAGAUAGAGCCUUCCCCUUCGGGGGACAAAGUGACAGGUGGUGCAUGGUUGUCGUCAGCUCGUGUCGUGAGAUGUUGGGUUAAGUCCCGCAACGAGCGCAACCCUUAAGCUUAGUUGCCAUCAUUAAGUUGGGCACUCUAAGUUGACUGCCGGUGACAAACCGGAGGAAGGUGGGGAUGACGUCAAAUCAUCAUGCCCCUUAUGAUUUGGGCUACACACGUGCUACAAUGGACAAUACAAAGGGCAGCGAAACCGCGAGGUCAAGCAAAUCCCAUAAAGUUGUUCUCAGUUCGGAUUGUAGUCUGCAACUCGACUACAUGAAGCUGGAAUCGCUAGUAAUCGUAGAUCAGCAUGCUACGGUGAAUACGUUCCCGGGUCUUGUACACACCGCCCGUCACACCACGAGAGUUUGUAACACCCGAAGCCGGUGGAGUAACCUUUUAGGAGCUAGCCGUC
This 1424-nucleotide ribosomal RNA is filed under the name Staphylococcus aureus. Its description in RNAcentral is "bacterial SSU rRNA". It matches the Rfam family "Bacterial small subunit ribosomal RNA". The record is from RNAcentral. Lineage: Bacteria; Bacillati; Bacillota; Bacilli; Caryophanales; Staphylococcaceae.